AGUCACGAAACAUGGUAAAGAACAGAGUGAUUGUGUUCAAGUCAGCUUUAUUUCAAACUCAUUUCAUAAGUGUCAGUUUAUGUGUUUUGUUAAUAAUUUUCAGACGCACAGUGUAAAACAGUGAGGACGAUUUCAACCAUGACGAACAACUUCAACUGCAACAGUUCUUUAUUUGAUGUCCCGUCGAACUUGUUUUCUUAUUUAAGGCAACAAGGUGUUUUGGGAACAGAGGAUGUAGAGGAUGGAGAUGAGCACAAUUUACUGUUGGAGGGACAAGAAAAUGUGCAAGAAACCGACAUUAGCGACACAACUGUUUUAUCAACAUUGAGUGCUGUAAAUCCAAUGAGGAAGUUCAAAGAAUUGAACCAUCGAAUGGACAAGAACAUGAAUUGCAAGGGUUAGAUUGCAACAAAAAUGUGGCUGCUCAAGAGACUGAUGAAGUUAAUACGGAAGGAAACGUACAGAGAACACGUAGGGACCAUUCAGUGACCAACGAAGGACCAAAUGUACCUAAUAAACGCAGAAAAAUGACUUCUCCUCAGAAAUGUAUGGUGGACAAGCAAAAACACCCAAUUUUACCAGGAUGUCUAAAGAAUAAGUGCACAAAAAAAUGUCACGAUCACUUUAAUGAACAAGAUCGAAUAAUAAUUCAUGCAGAAUAUUGGAAAUGCAAUUUCAACAUGAGGAGAGCAUGGUUAUCAAGCAAGGUUUGCCAGAAACCCAUUAAAAGAAGGCAUGUUGAUGAGGAAAUUUCAAGAAAAAACAAGAGUAUUGCUUAUACUUUAACCAAUACUGCAGGUGAGACAUUUCCCGUGUGUCAGAAAUUUUUCUUAAAUACUCUCGGCUACACACAGGAUCAAGUAAUUAAGUCAUUAUUUGUAUCAAUGCAAGCUGGUGCAAAAGCAGACGCUGCAUCAAACAACAAUGACUUGAAUGCAACAAACCAGGCUAACCCUUGUCUUGUGUCUCCCAAAGAUGCUAGGGGAAAACAUCCUUCUUCGAAGAAAAUCAACAGAAAAGUAAUUAUAGAUCACAUAGAAUCUUUCAAUCCUUCAUUAUCACAUUUCAGAAGAGAACAUGCUCCUUUCGUAAGGUAUUUGUCAAGUGAUGUAACUGUAUCCUUUAUGCAUAAGCAUUUUAAAGAUACCUUUCCAGAUAUCCCCUGCUCAUAUGAAGUCUAUAGAAAGACUCUUAGAGAAAUGAACAUAAGUUUUUCCAUGCCUAGUGAAGACAAAUGCUCGACUUGUCUUUUUUAUGAAAUGAACAUGACUGAUGACAAUGAGGAAAAAGCAAAAAAACACAAUGAGGAUCAAAGAAAAGCACGAAAUGAAUACAAUGUUGAUUCAGAAAAACACAAAAAUUCUGAUGAUGUUCAAUUAUUUGCUGUUGACAUGCAAAAGGUUCUCUUAAUCCCAAGAAUGCCUGAUGUCAAAGAUAGCUUCUUUUGUUCUAGAUUAGUUGCUUUCAAUGAAACAUUUGCCUCAAUGAAAAAUGAUGCUCACUUUUGUGUUCUGUGGAAUGAAGCCAUUCGUGGUAGAAACGCAAGUGAUGUUACAUCCAGCUACAUUAAAGUCAUGGAACAUUUACGAGAAACUCAGCACUUUAUAUUUUGGGCAGACAUUACUGCACCGCCCAAAAUAAAAACUGGACUAUUUUUUCUAGUUUUGCUUUGCAUGUCAAUAAGCCAAUGGGUCCUAAAAGCAUAACAAUGAAAUUUCUGGUUACUGGUCAUACAUUUAUGGCCGCAAAUGGCAUUCAUGGUAAAAUCGAGCAAUCAAUUAGAAGAAAGAAAAAUAUCUAUGACAUGAGGGACCUAAUUGAAGUCGUUGAAAACUACACAAAAAGAACAAAUGUUUUAGAGAUGAAAGUAAGUGAUUUUGCAUUGCAUCAAAAUUUGCUAAAGCGAAGUACUCGAAAAACAUCUGGUGACAUUAUUCCCAACUUACAUGAUCUUUGUGAAGUGAAGUUUGAGAAAGGUUCGUUUGAAAUGAUUUAUAAAAAGGAUUUCAAUGAAUCAGGUACCAAAGUUUCUUUCCUAAAGACACUACCAGAAAAUCACACAAGCAAGGUCCUUGAAUGCGCAAGGGGCGUCUCGAAAUCCAAACUUGACAAAAUCCAGUCCACCUUAGUUUCAAGAAUGCCUCUAUCAAGACGCUCUUUUUGGGAAGAUUUACCAAACAGUGAUCAUUUGGAAGAUCUUCUAAAACAACAAUGAAAUAAGUACAGUCUCAAAAAGUGAAAUAAUCAGUACCUUUAGUUAUGCCAAAUAUAUCUCUAUAUUUAUAGAAAAUAUAGAGAAUGGUGAGUAAAGUACGUGUUCCUUAUACACUUUAUAGUAAUGUUUAUUUUAUUCAAAAAGGAAGUUUUUUUUUUCUCUAAGUUACGUUACAAGGAAGGAUUUGUAAAGUGCAAUGAUUCA
Molecule: long non-coding RNA, 2419 nt
Organism: Scylla paramamosain (green mud crab)
Lineage: Eukaryota; Metazoa; Arthropoda; Malacostraca; Decapoda; Portunidae
Exons: 3
Source: RefSeq, a predicted model, not a curated record